CCUACGGGGGGCAGCAGUGAGGAAUAUUGGUCAAUGGACGGAAGUCUGAACCAGCCAUGCCGCGUGCAGGAUGACGGCUCUAUGAGUUGUAAACUUCUUUUGUACGAGAAUAAUGGUUCUUACGUGUAGGGAUUUGAAUGUAUCGUACGAAUAAGGAUCGGCUAACUCCGUGCCAGCAGCCGCGGUAAUACGGAGGAUUCGAGCGUUAUCCGGAUUUAUUGGGUUUAAAGGGUGCGUAGGCGGGUGGAUAAGUUAGAGGUCAAAGGUCGGGGCUUAACCCUGUGACUGCCAUUGAUACUGGUAGACUGGAGAGCGGAUGAGGCAGGCGGAAUUAGUAGUGUAGCGGUGAAAUGCUUAGAUAUCACGAAGAACACCGAUUGCGAAGGCAGCUUGCUAAUCUGCAUCUGACGCUGAUGCUCGAAAGCGUGGGUAGCGAACAGGAUUAGAUACCCGAGUAGUC
RNAcentral lists this ribosomal RNA (460 nucleotides) under uncultured bacterium. RNAcentral's name for it is "partial 16S ribosomal RNA". It matches the Rfam family "Bacterial small subunit ribosomal RNA", at positions 338 to 795 of the family's 1533-position model. The record is from RNAcentral.